RNAcentral lists this ribosomal RNA (253 nucleotides) under uncultured bacterium. Its description in RNAcentral is "partial 16S ribosomal RNA". It matches the Rfam family "Bacterial small subunit ribosomal RNA", at positions 524 to 776 of the family's 1533-position model. The record is from RNAcentral.
CACGUAGGGGGCUAGCGUUGUCCGGAUUUACUGGGCGUAAAGGGCGCGUAGGCGGUAGCACAAGUCAGUUGUGAAAUCUCCGGGCUUAACUCGGAAAGGUCAACUGAUACUGUGCGACUAGAGUGCAGAAGGGGCAACUGGAAUUCUCGGUGUAGCGGUGAAAUGCGUAGAUAUCGAGAGGAACACCUGCGGCGAAGGCGGGUUGCUGGGCUGACACUGACGCUGAGGCGCGAAAGCCAGGGGAGCGAACGGG